CAAGAAGUCUCAUCCAGUCUUGCUUGCAGUUGGCCUCUUCUAGAAGCAGAGAGAAAAAUACGGCACAGAAUGCUCAAUCUGUAAGUGUUCUGACUUGAAAUAUGUUUCUAAAUCUCCUGGAAGGAACAGGAAAGUUUGAGACUAGAAAGGAUGACUGUGAUAGUUUACUGUUAACUGUAUUCUAUAAAUGUAGGCUUAACAUUUCUGUGCUGUCUCACCACGUCCCAAAUCUCCCUAACGUUAUCAUAACGUUAUUUCUGCAUUUGUACCAUAUGUGAAAUCAGAAGUAGAAAAAUCCCUUUAGAGUGAGGAUAAAACCUCAGACUGUGGGAGUGGAUGUACAAUAACCUUAGCUCUGACUGCGAUGUUACAUAUGCACCAGUAAAGCGUGUGUGGCUGUUUGAGCAAGAUGUGUGACUGGAAGUGCCAGACUCCACUCUUCCCAACAAACCAUGGCUGCCUGCUCAGCCAGCGGGUAUUGUCACGACAGGAUUCUGCAGGAUAAUCAAGGCUCAUUUCAGUGUAACUUCUGGAAGGUUCCAUGUCAUCAGCCACAUAUGCUUGUUGCCUGAUGCUCACAUAUGCCAACACAUAAAAUGCCAAUGCUGUAAUCCUGUAACAUUUGAAAGCUUUUAUUUUCUAUAGCUACUGCAGGCUGGCAAGAUAACACUGUGGCAGGAAACAGGAGAGUAUCAGGCGCUGAUCUAAGCAGAGGAAGAGGGACUGGAGGAAGGAAUGAUAGAACUAACGGAAAUGGUCUCAGGACAUCCUGUGGAUUAGAACUGCUGCCGCUACCACACUGCAGCCUCACUGCAUGGUGCUGUACAUCUCUGUUCCACACCGUUCCAUUCAGAGUGUCCGUGGACACUGGACCCAAUGCACUGGUGUCAGAGGAGCGACAGACCUGAGUGUUGGCCACUGGUUUGUGGCGCUGCCUCUGCUGAAGGAAUGGGAAUGUCCAUGCCGAGGUUUAAGGGAAUGUCCAUGUGGACACAUCCAGUAUGGAUGAGAAACUGAACUGUGGCUCCUCAGACUGAGGUAGGAGUCCGGCUCACCAGUAACCGUGGCAACCAGGCUGUCAUUGGGAGCCUCAAGACCUCACAUGCUAAAACAUAAAAAACCCCAAACUCACCGCAGCAUCCGUUAGCACUCUGACACGUUCGAGAUCUGUCCCUCAGUUUUGCUGUACGCAGAUGUUGACAGCUGUGGCUGUCACUUGUACGUAGGAGUGUUCUUCCCUGCUCUGUCUGCUCCAUCAGCAGCAGAAAUUGUUCCUGGUGGCAGAUGUUCUGGUGGCUUCCAAUUAAAAGGGGAUAUUUGAAUUUCAAGUGGGAGAAACACUGUGAAGGCAGUUUUGUAUUCACCUGAAGAAGUGUCACCUAUGGCCCCCUUCCAAGCCCAGGGCAGUCACAUCAGUAUUUACAGCAUUCAGCUGUGUUUGCACUCGAGAACCAUUAAUGCAGCAUACCAGCCCUGGUGACAAGUUACAUUCUGUUGCUGUCAGCAAACAAAGAUGUUGUUUCUUUGUCUGCAAACUCCUCUUUCCUUUUAUAUCAACCAUUAGGUUUGAGUUCUGCAGGAGGUGUUUUUCCAGUGUUUUCUGGAAGCUGCCAGAGAGGUGAUGGAGUGAACUCCUGGGAGCUUGUGGAAGACACUGGUUAAUAUUUCCCUAUGGGAUUAAAUAAAGGGGUCGGGGUAGGUUCUUUGCUUGGGAUGGAAUUAAUCCAUUUGCUAAACCAAUUCCCCUCUUUGGGAGGGGAGAGUCUCUGAAAUAAAUACUUAAUUUUAAACCCACUUCAGAACAUUGAUCACUGCCCCGUGGUUCUGAUUUAAACGCAUUUGUGCUUUCUACUAGUGUAAAGGGACAGGGAACAGAUCCACGUAGUAACACUCCUUAACCUCCUGUCACCGUAUCGCAUUACGUGGUGUAGACAUUUCAUGCAUCAGCUGUCACUGCCUUGGUUGGGUGUCUU
Long non-coding RNA from Pezoporus flaviventris, 1973 nucleotides. RefSeq lists it as uncharacterized. The record is from RefSeq and is a predicted model, not a curated record. The transcript has 3 exons. NCBI's taxonomy places the organism in Eukaryota, Metazoa, Chordata, Aves, Psittaciformes, Psittacidae.